AAUACAUUAAAUAUUAGGUGCCUAUGGGAUGUGAUGUCUAAUUAUUAGUUAGAAAUCCAAAUUUGGAACUUAGAUGAAUUAGGGAUAGGAAAUGCUUGUGUGGUAGAUCGAUAUAUAAACUAUAGCAGAUAACUCAGGGAGAUCACGUAGAGUAAAAAGAGGACUAAAGUGAAAGUUCAAGGAAAACCUAACAUUUAGGGGGAGGGAAGAUGAGGCAAGACAAGUGAACUUGAAAAUGAAAGUGGGUUCAAAUUUCAACUCGGCCACCGAACUAGAUGAGGACCAAGGCCAAGUUACUUUACCUCCUAUACCUCAGGGUCCUCAUCCAAAAAAUGGAGGUAAGCCUAGCAGUUAUUUCAUACCAUUGUUAUAAAAACUUAGAAGGAUAAAAUCUAUGAAACAUUUAAAGUCUGGCAAAUGAUAAGAAUCUAAUUAAUGGUCACUGUCUUUUGGUUUUAGUGUGAGCACAGGAGCUUGAGGAAAUAAAUAAAUAAAUACCAACUUUACCCCAAAAUGUUCUUUUAGAAAGUAGUUUAAUUUGUUAGUUCACAUAAUUAUAAAAACAAGCUUUUCUUCUGCCAGCUGACUUAGAGGAAUACCAUGUUUUACUCUUGGUUUUAAACGAUCAGAAAAGAAUGUAGCCUGUGCUUUGAAGCAUUGUGUGUGUAAUGAUGAGAUCUUUCAAGUAGAAAGUCACUUAACUGUGCUUUCUUUUGUUAUGUCAUUAGAUAUGAAAUCCGAGAUGAUCAUACCUUGAAAAUUAGGAAGGUGACGGCUGGUGACAUGGGUUCAUACACUUGUGUUGCAGAAAAUAUGGUGGGCAAAGCUGAAGCAUCUGCUACUCUGACUGUUCAAGUUGGGUCUGAACCUCCACAUUUUGUUGUGAAACCCCGUGACCAGGUUGUUGCCUUGGGACGGACUGUAACUUUUCAGUGUGAAGCAACCGGAAAUCCUCAACCAGCUAUUUUUUGGAGGAGAGAAGGGAGUCAGAAUCUACUUUUCUCAUAUCAACCACCACAGUCAUCCAGCCGAUUUUCAGUCUCCCAGACUGGCGACCUCACAAUUACUAAUGUCCAGCGAUCUGAUGUUGGUUAUUACAUCUGCCAGACUUUAAAUGUUGCUGGAAGCAUCAUCACAAAGGCAUAUUUGGAAGUUACAGAUGUGAUUGCAGAUCGGCCUCCCCCGGUUAUUCGACAAGGUCCUGUGAAUCAGACUGUAGCUGUGGAUGGCACUUUAGUCCUCAGCUGUGUGGCCACAGGCAGUCCAGUGCCUACCAUUCUGUGGAGAAAGGAUGGAGUCCUCGUUUCAACCCAAGACUCUCGAAUCAAACAGCUGGAGAACGGAGUGCUGCAGAUCCGAUAUGCUAAGCUGGGUGAUACUGGUCGGUACACCUGCAUUGCAUCAACCCCCAGUGGUGAAGCAACAUGGAGUGCUUACAUUGAAGUUCAAGAAUUUGGAGUUCCAGUUCAGCCUCCAAGACCCACUGACCCAAAUUUAAUCCCUAGUGCCCCAUCAAAACCUGAAGUUACGGAUGUCAGCAGAAAUACAGUCACAUUAUCAUGGCAACCAAAUUUGAAUUCAGGAGCAACUCCAACAUCUUAUAUUAUAGAAGCCUUCAGCCAUGCAUCUGGUAGCAGCUGGCAGACCGUAGCAGAGAAUGUGAAAACAGAAACAUUUGCCAUUAAAGGACUCAAACCUAAUGCAAUUUACCUUUUCCUUGUGAGGGCAGCUAAUGCAUAUGGAAUUAGUGAUCCAAGCCAAAUAUCAGAUCCAGUGAAAACACAAGAUGUUCCACCAACAAGUCAGGGGGUGGACCACAAGCAGGUCCAGAGAGAGCUGGGGAAUGUUGUUCUGCACCUCCACAACCCUACCAUCCUUUCUUCCUCUUCCAUCGAAGUGCACUGGACAGUAGAUCAACAGUCUCAGUAUAUACAAGGAUAUAAAAUUCUCUAUCGGCCAUCUGGAGCCAACCACGGAGAAUCAGACUGGUUAGUUUUUGAAGUGAGGACACCAACCAAAAACAGUGUGGUUAUCCCUGAUCUCAGAAAGGGAGUCAACUAUGAAAUUAAGGCUCGCCCUUUUUUUAAUGAAUUUCAAGGAGCAGAUAGUGAAAUCAAGUUCGCCAAAACCCUGGAAGAAGGCAAGUAUGACGAAGCGUAUGAUUUCCAUGCAUUGCAGUAUGUUUGUUAGAAUUUUAUUAGCUUAAUUUAAAUUGUUAUAAUGUUAAUAGUGGCAUUAAUUACUGACUUUCUUGAUAUUCAACAUAUAUUUUGCUAACAGUAUUUGUUUAUUUAGAAAACUAGAAAAGCAAAAUGCUAUAAUAGUUGACUUGCUUCAAUAGUGGCCUACCUCAAAUAUGCAAAUGUGAACAUUUUACUUAAUGGCAUAUAGAAAUUUAAUUAUUCAGAACUAAAAUUCACAUUUAAAAAUGAAAUUGUUUUCCGUUUGGUUUAUUUUCCAUUCAGCAUUUUCUAUUUGUUUAUUUUGAUCCAUGAUUUGAAUAAUGUGUUGAUUUGCCCAGGACUUUCUGGGAUUAGCAUUUUCUUCCUAAAUCUCAUCCCUCUUAAAACACCUCAGUUCUAGACAAACCACUAUAGCUGACCACCCUAUUCCUAGAAAUUAAACAGUAUUUACAUAAAGGUAAAAGAUUACAUUAACUAACAGAAGGAUUUUUCCCAACAUGUCUUUGUCACUUUGGCUGUAUGAGUAAUUAUCAUGAAUGAUUAAUAUUCAUUUUCAUACUUUUCAACAUUUCGGGGGAGAACAUGAGACUAGAAUUACACGGUAGAAGAAAUAGGAAUUGUCCUGGGAUGUUUGGUGGAAACAAGGUAUUUAACUGUGGUUAUGGAAAAUUCACAGUGGCCGUGAAUUAGCAUUAAGUAAGCAACAACUUAGGUAGUUUGGGACUCUUCGGACUUGGAUGAGAUACAUCUUUAAAACAUAUGCAGCUGGGCACAGUGGCUCAGGCCUGUAACCCCAGCACUUUGGGAGGCUGAGGCGGGCGGAUCACCUGAAGUCACAAGUUCAAGACCAGCCUGGCCAAGGCGGUGAAACCCCGUCUCUAUUAAAAAUACAAAAAUUCGUGGGGCAUGGUGGUGAGCGCCUGUAAUCCCAGCUACUCAGGGGGCUGAGGCAGGAGAAUCGCUUGAACCCGGGAGGGGGAGGUUGCAGUGAGCCGAGAUCAUGUCACAGCACCACAGCCUAGACGACAGAGCAAGACUCUGUCUC
RNAcentral lists this small RNA (3228 nucleotides) under Pongo abelii (Sumatran orangutan). RNAcentral describes it as "retained intron". The record is from RNAcentral. Lineage: Eukaryota; Metazoa; Chordata; Mammalia; Primates; Hominidae.